UGAAUGAUAAGCAAGAAACAAACAAGCUUGCUUAAUUUAUAAUUUUCUAAAUAUCACUUGACAAAAUGCGUCAAGCAUGGUUUACCAAAACCUGAAUAAAAUAAUGGAAGCAGACGGAUUCGAAAAAGUCUCAAAAGUGAAUCUUAGGUGACAAAAAUGAAAAGAAACAAGAGAAUGAGACAUGCGUGAAUGAUGGUUGAGGGUGCAUGUGGGGGACCUCAGUCAUGUUACAGUAGGUGGCCAACAUUUCCCAUUCCACUUGUCCAAUAAUUAUCCGAGUGCUCAACAGGCCUCCAAGGUUACCAGAAAACCUCAUGAAAUGUUAUCGCGGUGUCACGUUGAGAUAGCGACAGAGAAAGCAGCAACCAAAAGUUAAUUAGGUCCCACUUGGAUCCUUCCCACUGAAAAAAAUACCAUACACAAUAUCUCACUCCCUCUUCUUCCAGGCUCUUUUUUGCAUCCCUCUCUCUCACCUAAAAUCCGUUGCAUAUUCCACAUCAAUCCACGCACGCAUGCGCC
RNAcentral lists this long non-coding RNA (519 nucleotides) under Vigna radiata. Its description in RNAcentral is "long non-coding RNA (VRAD_LNC003167)". Lineage: Eukaryota; Viridiplantae; Streptophyta; Magnoliopsida; Fabales; Fabaceae. The record is from RNAcentral.